This 450-nucleotide ribosomal RNA is filed under the name uncultured bacterium. RNAcentral describes it as "bacterial SSU rRNA". It matches the Rfam family "Bacterial small subunit ribosomal RNA", at positions 29 to 524 of the family's 1533-position model. The record is from RNAcentral.
AACGAACGCUGGCGGCAUGCCUAACACAUGCAAGUCGAACGAGACCUUCGGGUCUAGUGGCGCACGGGUGCGUAACGCGUGGGAAUCUACCCUUGGGUUCGGAAUAACUCAGAGAAAUUUGAGCUAAUACCGGAUGAUGUCGCAAGACCAAAGAUUUACCGCCCAAGGAUGAGCCCGCGUAGGAUUAGCUUGUUGGUGAGGUAAAAGCUCACCAAGGCGACGAUCCUUAGCUGGUCUGAGAGGAUGAUCAGCCACACUGGGACUGAGACACGGCCCAGACUCCUACGGGAGGCAGCAGUGGGGAAUAUUGGACAAUGGGCGAAAGCCCGAUCCAGCAAUGCCGCGUGAGUGAUGAAGGCCUUAGGGUUGUAAAGCUCUUUUACCCGGGAUGAUAAUGACAGUACCGGGAGAAUAAGCCCCGGCUAACUCCGUGCCAGCAGCCGCGGUAAU